AUGAACGCUGGCGGCGUGUUUUAGGCAUGCAAGUCGAACGAGUCCCGCAGCAAUGCGGGACGAGUGGCAAACGGGUGCGUAACACAUUGGUAAUCUACCUUCGAGACGGGGAUAGCUUCCCGAAAGGGAAAUUAAUACCCGAUGGUCAUGGGGGGACACAUGUCAUUCCCAUGUAAAGAUUUAUUACUCGAAGAGGAGCCUAUGGCCUAUCAGCUAGUUGGCGGGGUAAAAGCCCACCAAGGCUAUGACGGGUAGGGGACGUGAGAGCGUGAUCCCCCUCACUGGGACUGAGACACUGCCCAGACUCCUACGGGAGGCUGCAGUCAAGAAUAUUCCGCAAUGCGCGAAAGCGUGACGGAGCGACGCCGCGUGCAGGAUGAAGCCCUUCGGGGUGUAAACUGCUUUUACGAGGGAAGAAUUUGUGACGGUACCUCGUGAAUAAGAGGUUGCUAACUCUGU
RNAcentral lists this ribosomal RNA (459 nucleotides) under uncultured bacterium. RNAcentral describes it as "bacterial SSU rRNA". It matches the Rfam family "Bacterial small subunit ribosomal RNA", at positions 29 to 506 of the family's 1533-position model. The record is from RNAcentral.